AUACUUACUUGCAGGGGAGACACCAUGAUCACGAAGGUGGUUCUCCCAGGGGUCCGCUCAUCCAUUGCACUCCGGGUGUGCUCACCCCUGCAGUUUCCUUAAAAAAAAAAUUAAUUGUCUUUGGUGCAAAUGCUCUCAGUGGGAAACUGACUGUAUAAUUUGUGGUAGUGGGGGAUUGUGUUUUGCACUUUCCCCUG
This 197-nucleotide small nuclear RNA is filed under the name Naja naja (Indian cobra). RNAcentral describes it as "U1 spliceosomal RNA (ENSNNAG00000017737.1)". It matches the Rfam family "U1 spliceosomal RNA". Rfam says of the family: U1 is a small nuclear RNA (snRNA) component of the spliceosome (involved in pre-mRNA splicing). Its 5' end forms complementary base pairs with the 5' splice junction, thus defining the 5' donor site of an intron. There are significant differences in sequence and secondary structure between metazoan and yeast U1 snRNAs, the latter being much longer (568 nucleotides as compared to 164 nucleotides in human). Lineage: Eukaryota; Metazoa; Chordata; Lepidosauria; Squamata; Elapidae. The record is from Rfam by way of RNAcentral.